Molecule: ribosomal RNA, 253 nt
Filed under: uncultured bacterium
Lineage: Bacteria
Description: partial 16S ribosomal RNA
Rfam family: Bacterial small subunit ribosomal RNA
Source: RNAcentral
UACGAAGGGGGCUAGCGUUGCUCGGAAUCACUGGGCGUAAAGGGUGCGUAGGCGGGGCUUAAAGUCAGAGGUGAAAUCCUGGAGCUCAACUCCAGAACUGCCUUUGAUACUGAGGAUCUUGAGUAUGGGAGAGGUGAGUGGAACUGCGAGUGUAGAGGUGAAAUUCGUAGAUAUUCGCAAGAACACCAGUGGCGAAGGCGGCCCACUGGCCCAUUACUGACGCUGAGGCACGAAAGCGUGGGGAGCAAACAGG